RNAcentral lists this long non-coding RNA (1576 nucleotides) under Mytilus galloprovincialis (Mediterranean mussel). The record is from RNAcentral. Lineage: Eukaryota; Metazoa; Mollusca; Bivalvia; Mytilida; Mytilidae.
AGCUUUUAUACCCAUUGAACUUUUACAGGGUAUCUAGAUUUUGGAGCGAGCAGUAGAAUGGAAUAAACGGAUGGAAAAUUAAUUCAAAUAUGGAUAUAUCGUUAAUACCAGAAGUUUUUAUUAUUGUUUUAACUUCGAUUGUAAUUGUCGCGCUGGUGCCACUAUGUUUGUCCGCACAACACAAAUAUUCAGUAAUUUUUAUCAGCAUUAUUAUUGUUGAAUAUAUAUUUGAAGUGCUUCGUGUUUUAUAUUUUGUUAAAUUUUACUGGAACAAAGCAGAUUUGUUGUUGUUUGUUUUUCCUCUCAGAUCCAUGCCUUCAAUUUCAAUGACUUGUUCCGUACUGCUUGGCACAAUUAUCUUGUCAUCCGUUUCAUUCAAAAAAUUGUCAGUAAAAGUUUUGUGUUCCAUCUACGUCCUUAUAUCGCUAAUAUUAAUCAUAAUAUGGAACAAUUUCUUGGCAACCUGCUUGAUUGUUGAUCACCCUGGUCAAACCAAAAGAACCUACUGUGACCAUUACCUGAUAAAUUCAGAUACAUUUGACUACUACAAAUGCCUCAUUGAUUAUGGACGACCUAAUACAGGUUUCUAUUGCUUUGAGGAUUGGGCACCUUGGACCAGUGGUUAUUUUCUGGAAUAUUUGCUUUUGAGUGUCCCGUCUUUUGCAGUACUAUACGAUAAACUAUACAAGAUGUUACGAUUUUCUGGUAAGUAAAGUUUGUACGAAAAUAAAAAAAAUAUACCUGCUUUUAAAAUCAUCUUUAACAAAAGUAAUGACACAACUUUAUAGAUUUAAGAAAUUUGCAAAAAAUAGACAGAAAGAACAACACUUUUACUAUUUCCGAAAGUGUGCCUAUGAAAAAAAAUUAAUCGAAUAACUUAAGUUGCCCUGAAAAAAACCGAUAUAUAAACACUCAUCAAAGAUACAAUGAUUAUGAUUAUGUAAAAAUUGCAAAAUUUAUAAACACUUUACAUUUUGACAGAUGAAUAAUAAACUAUAUAAACAUACCCUUUUAUCUCCUUUUUUUUGUAUUUCAGAACUGAAGAAUUGUAAUGAAACUUGUUCCAUCUGCUGUUUCAACAUUUCACUGUAUAACCAUACAAUGGCGCUGGCCCUUUUUAUAAUUUGGUGCGUGAGACCGACUUUUUAUUUGUUUGUUGCGCCAGGGUUCUUUCGGAUUACGUCUUUCUGCAUUGACCUAAUUAUUAUGAUAUCGUCAGCGGUUUUUUUUAUACUAGCAUUGAUUUACAUUCUUAAAUUCUAUCUUUUUCGUAAAUUUGUCUUUAAUGUUGAUAAUGACAGUGAAUGUAAUGUUGUCCUUACAGAAUGUACGUAUGGGAAACAAAAAGACAAAUCCAAACAUUGUGAGCAAAAUGAAUGUUAAUAAAAAAAAAGAUCUUUCCUUAGGGCAAAAAGAAUACAAUGUCUUUUUUUAUUUUCUGUUUCGUCAAAAAACAUGGCUGUCAUGGCUUAAAAUAGAACAAACAAGUAAACUGCAGUUUUUGUCUGAGCAUUACUUUUCUAUCGGAUCAAUGUUUGAUUCUAGCAAUAAUCCGAAAUGGAAGUGGAGUUUAAAU